Molecule: small RNA, 782 nt
Filed under: Pongo abelii (Sumatran orangutan)
Lineage: Eukaryota; Metazoa; Chordata; Mammalia; Primates; Hominidae
Description: retained intron
Source: RNAcentral
GCUGAGGACUGGCUUCGUGGUCCCUGAUGGGAGAGCAUGAACAGGUGGUAUGUGGCUCUUCCUCGGACAAGGCUCUGGAGCAUACAGCUCACUGGUCCAGGACCCCAGAGCCAGAGACCUUGGGACGCCCUGUUUCUGGGGACACAGUGAGGACUGCAGACUGCAGGCCAGGGUGGGGCUCGGGGCCUCCGCCACAUGAGGCUGCCCCCUCCCCCAGUCCAGACCUGCAGAAGGAGUGCUGUAAUGACCAGGACGUUUUGAAGAGGCAUCACAACGUAGCUAAGGUUACCCCCACCCGGGAAACCCCUUCAAUGCAGAAAACUACUGCAAUCUACUGCUGUGGGGCUUAGGGAAGGGGCUGUAAGGCAGAGAGACUCCCAUGAAUGUACCCACUGUGUUUCUUCAGCACCUAGAACAACGCCUGGCACUCAGCAGGCCCUGGCUAAGCAAGUCUUAAAUGAAUGGAUGAAGGAAUGAAUGGAAGGAAAGAGUGUGGUUGUGUGUCUUCCAUGGGGAUUUGGCUGUGAUCCUCUCUCAGCCACAUAAGUGCACUUCUGAGCAUAUGUAGCCCCAGGGGGAGGUGCAUGAAUAUGCCUGGAGUGCAGCUUUGCCUGCACUUAUGGUUUGGGACACCUAGAACUGAGGAGAUCCAACUCUUGUCCAGCCCUCAAAACUGGGUUGAGGUGAGCAAGGAGGCAGCUCAGGGACACAUUUCUACUCCCAUCUCAUCUCUCUUCCUUAGAAGCCCUUGGAGACCAGCUCUUCCAAAGUCAAAGGUGAGA